GGAUGCGAUCAUACCAGCACUAAAGCACCGGAUCCCAUCAGAACUCUGAAGUUAAGCGUGCUUGGGCGAGAGUAGUACUAGGAUUGGUGACCUCCUGGGAAGUCCUCGUGUUGCAUUCC
This 119-nucleotide ribosomal RNA is filed under the name Triticum dicoccoides. Lineage: Eukaryota; Viridiplantae; Streptophyta; Magnoliopsida; Poales; Poaceae. RNAcentral also lists the same sequence under 1 other name. The record is from RNAcentral.